This is a long non-coding RNA of Notolabrus celidotus (New Zealand spotty), 471 nucleotides long. RefSeq lists it as uncharacterized. The transcript has 3 exons. The record is from RefSeq and is a predicted model, not a curated record. Lineage: Eukaryota; Metazoa; Chordata; Actinopteri; Labriformes; Labridae.
GUCACGUCGCACUGAGAUUAGACGUCUCAAAUCCACAUCUGUUUCUGUGGGAAUCAGUCUGCUGCCUCUUUGGUCAUUUUCUGUCAACGAGAGUGAACCAGACGUGCUGCAAGUGUGCAGAAAACUCCAAAUCUGACUGAACUACUUCAUCAAAGACUCCUUGAGACAGAAGCAAAAAGAAAAAUAAGCUCAUUAAAUCCCUGCAACCAUCUGAAGGCUGAUAAAUCUGCAGCCUUCAAUUUGAAAAAAUGCUGCUGCAGAGAGCAGUGCCAUUAUGCAACAAACGUUGGAUUACUGGGACUCAUCAAUUCUGCGCAACACCUCUUGUUGUUCCCCAAGAGGGUGUUUCAAGUUUUCCUUUUGAUAUUCAGCGCAAUCACUGCUGCAUCACGUCAAGAACAAUUUGAUGUGGCCGUGUUACAUUGGAGUGAUGAAAUGAUGUAUUCUGUGUGGUAAAUGGUAUAUGCAUCA